This is a long non-coding RNA of Monomorium pharaonis (pharaoh ant), 684 nucleotides long. RefSeq lists it as uncharacterized. The record is from RefSeq and is a predicted model, not a curated record. Lineage: Eukaryota; Metazoa; Arthropoda; Insecta; Hymenoptera; Formicidae. The transcript has 2 exons.
UGUAAAAUAUUCUUCAAAAGAAUAUAAAUUCUUUUUUCGAAUACACAAUAAUAAGCUUUUCUAAAAUUUGUGAUGGCACAUUUUAAGGCUGUUAUCAAGAAAGUGUUUUUGUUAAUAAUAACUGUCACUUAGAAGAAAAAUAAAUUGAGUAAAUGCUUUUCUUAGCAAUAGACUUGGUAAUUUUCUGUGUAUAUGCAUAAAUAUGUUGUUUUUUCAUAAUAAUCUAAUACUAUUUAUAUUUGCAACAGAUAUUGAGCACAGCGAUGUCAUACUUUACGUUAUUACGACAAAUGAGUGAAAAUAAUAUAUAGUAUAGAAUAUAGACCUAUAGAAGAGAUUUCUAGCACUACAGUUGGCAAAAUUCCUGAUAUACAUAUGCAUACAUACAUACAUACAUACAUAUAUGUAUAUAUGUCAUGGUUUAAAUAAGUACUUUAAUUUAAUGAGGUAUAUGCUUAAAUAAAUUCCAAUGUCAAGAGGACAACCUUUUCGCUGGAAUAUUUUCUGUCGUAGAUCAUCAUCCGACAUAUGAUACAGGUUAGAUAUCAUACGUAUGUUAAAUGCGAAUUUAUAAGUCUUAUAAAAAUCACGUUGCCAUCAGUCGGCACGUAAUCAUCUUCGUCGCUCAAGUUUCCAACAGAUGAGAAUAAUGUUAACUUGAAAAUUAAUAAAAACUUACAGAAA